RNAcentral lists this ribosomal RNA (464 nucleotides) under uncultured bacterium. RNAcentral describes it as "partial 16S ribosomal RNA". It matches the Rfam family "Bacterial small subunit ribosomal RNA", at positions 28 to 507 of the family's 1533-position model. The record is from RNAcentral.
GACGAACGCUGGCGGCGUGCUUAACACAUGCAAGUCGAACGGAAAGGCCCUGCUUGCAGGGUACUCGAGUGGCGAACGGGUGAGUAACACUUGGGUGAUCUGCCCUGCACUUCGGGAUAAGCCGGGGAAACUGGGUCUAAUACCGGAUAGGAGCCAUUUUUAGUGUGAUGGUUGGAAAGUUUUUUCGGUGUAGGAUGAGCUCGCGGCCUAUCAGCUUGUUGGUGGGGUAAUGGCCUACCAAGGCGGCGACGGGUAGCCGGCCUGAGAGGGUGGACGGCCACAUUGGGACUGAGAUACGGCCCAGAAUCCUACGGGAGGCAGCAGUGGGGAAUAUUGCACAAUGGGCGCAAGCCUGAUGCAGCGACGCCGCGUGGGGGAUGACGGCCUUCGGGUUGUAAACUCCUUUCGCUAGGGACGAAGCUUUUGUGACGGUACCUAGAUAAGAAGCACCGGCUAACUACGUG